Picea glauca (white spruce) is the source of this 132-nucleotide non-coding RNA. The record is from Rfam. Lineage: Eukaryota; Viridiplantae; Streptophyta; Pinopsida; Pinales; Pinaceae.
UAGCGGCACCAGGGGUGCUUGCCCUGUUUCCACCCCUAGCGAAGCUGGGGUUGUUGACAGGAGCAGGCUGAGAAAGUCCCUUUGAACCUGAGCAGGAUAAUGCCUGCGUAGGGAGUGUGCUUUUUUUUUUCU